AUUGAACGCUGGCGGCAUGCCUUACACAUGCAAGUCGAACGGCAGCACGGGAGCAAUCCUGGUGGCGGGUGGCGAACGGGUGAGUAAAGUAUCGGAACGUGCCCAGUCGUGGGGGAUAACGUAGCGAAAGUUACGCUAAUACCGCAUACGAUCUAUGGAUGAAAGCGGGGGAUCGCAAGACCUCGCGCGAUUGGAGCGGCCGAUAUCAGGUUAGGUAGUUGGUGGGGUAAAGGCUCACCAAGCCGACGAUCUGUAGCUGGUCUGAGAGGACGACCAGCCACACUGGGACUGAGACACGGCCCAGACUCCUACGGGAGGCAGCAGUGGGGAAUUUUGGACAAUGGGCGAAAGCCUGAUCCAGCCAUGCCGCGUGCAGGAUGAAGGCCUUCGGGUUGUAAACUGCUUUUGUACGGAACGAAAAGGUUUGGGCUAAUAAGCUGAGCUCAUGACGGUACCGUAAGAAUAAGCACCGGCUAACUACGUGCCAGCCGCCGCAGUAA
RNAcentral lists this ribosomal RNA (500 nucleotides) under uncultured bacterium. Its description in RNAcentral is "partial 16S ribosomal RNA". It matches the Rfam family "Bacterial small subunit ribosomal RNA", at positions 30 to 523 of the family's 1533-position model. The record is from RNAcentral.